GUUUUGCCAGAGAAUCACUAGGAGCCUUGAUGUAGUAUGGAUACACUGUUUCUAAUGUUACCUUUUCCAAUGGCUUUCCAGACAUCAUUGUAGCAAUAUCUCUUCUGGUUUUCUCUGGUAGGCCAAAGGUAAGUUUAUCUGAUGCUAUUUCUGCUUUGGCACCAAGAGUGAGAUUUCUUUGAAUGCUCCAUGAAAGUACUACAGUGAACUCAGCUGAAAAAUCCAGCAGUCCCUGUAUCAUUUUCUCUCUACUGGGAGGGCUGAUGGUCCAUAAGGAGUUUGAAUUCCCUUCUAGAUCUGCUAGGGUUAUAUCUUCUUUUCCAUAGCCCUCUAAAAACUGCAAAGCAGCAGUGUUACCCCUAUAGCUUCCCAGAAAUGCACUGAAACCAGUCUGAUUCAAAUCCUUGAGCUGACUCUGUUGAGCACUCAUUGUAAAAAUAGGCUGAUAACCUCCUAGAGUUAUUGUGAUUGAUACAUCUAGAGGCUUGUUGGUGAUGCCUGCAACAGAUUUGAUUAAAGACAUGAAGAGCAGUGGGAACCAGACAAUACAAAUCAGCAAGACGAUAAUCAUGCCACCCAUUCCAUACUUCACAACCUUCUUUUUCUUCUGGCCUCUUGGUUGGGGAUAUCUCUUUUCUGACUCUCGCCAGCACUUCAGGAUGAAUAUAUGAGCAUAGAUAUCUUCAACACAGAUCCAGCUGGAGAGACUGAGAGUGGUAUCUGUC
This 725-nucleotide long non-coding RNA is filed under the name Gallus gallus (chicken). The record is from RNAcentral. Lineage: Eukaryota; Metazoa; Chordata; Aves; Galliformes; Phasianidae.